UUGGUGGCUGUGGCCAGCAAUGUCAAACUUCCCAGGCAUCCAUCUUUCUGGAACUCUCAUGGCAUAUACCAGUGCUCCAAUGCCGUAAAAUAUGCCCAUCAAAAGUUCAUAUCCAGUCGUAUGAAGUGCCUCAGGUUGGUGCCAAAACAAAACCAGCUUGUGCAGAAUAGGUACCGCACCUGACAGGCCCAUUCCAAAGAAUAGAGAUGCUCGAAUAACUCGAUAUUCGGGAGUCUGGAACACAGGAAGUAGGGAACCCAAGAUUGUGCCAAUUCCCAGGAGGGUAAUAAAUCCCAGGUACAGAUUGCAAAAGAAGGGGUAACACAUGAAGGAAUAAUAGACCGGAGGGUAAAAUGAAGUUGAUAUCAGGGCAGCGAUACCAGCAUAGUCGAGCCUCAACAUGAUGUAUGAUAAACGCUCUGAAUGGCAAGAAAGUAAAUGACAUGUGCUGCUUGCUAACAAACAAAACAUUGCCCCACCAAGGAAGGCAUAGAAUGGCCACCGCGUUAUAGGCUUCACCAUUAGUGGUGCUAUCACGUUAG
Molecule: unclassified non-coding RNA, 542 nt
Filed under: Hevea brasiliensis (rubber tree)
Lineage: Eukaryota; Viridiplantae; Streptophyta; Magnoliopsida; Malpighiales; Euphorbiaceae
Source: RNAcentral